AUAUGUAUGUGAAUUGCAGAAUUCAGUGAAUCAUCGAAUCUUUGAACGCACCUUGCGCUCCUUGGUAUUCCGAGGAGCAUGCCUGUUUGAGUGUCAUUAAAUUCUCAACCUUACUAGCUUUAUUGCCAGUCUGGCUUGGACUUGGGGGUUUUUUGCCGNNUUCUAACAUAACUGAGGUCAGCUCCCCUUAAAUGCAUUAGCUGGUGCCCCGUCGUGGACAUUCGUCUAUUGGUGUGAUAAUUAUCUACGCCGUGGAUGGUCUGCGUUUACUACRCUGCUUACAAUCGUCCCUUUGGACAAAUCUAAUGACUAAUUUGACCUCAAAUCAGGUAGGACUACCCGCUGAACUUAAGCAUAUCAAUAAGCGGAGGAAAAGAAACUAACAAGGAUUCCCCUAGUAACUGCGAGUGAAGCGGGAAAAGCUCAAAUUUAAAAUCUGGCAGUCUUUGGCUGUCCGAGUUGUAAUCUAGAGAAGUGUUAUCCGCGCUGGACCGUGUACAAGUCUCCUGGAAUGGAGCGUCAUAGAGGGUGAGAAUCCCGUCUUUGACACGGACUGCCAGGGCUUUGUGAUACGCUCUCAAAGAGUCGAGUUGUUUGGGAAUGCAGCUCAAAAUGGGUGGUAAAUUCCAUCUAAAGCUAAAUAUUGGCGAGAGACCGAUAGCGAACAAGUACCGUGAGGGAAAGAUGAAAAGAACUUUGGAAAGAGAGUUAAACAGUACGUGAAAUUGCUGAAAGGGAAACGCUUGAAGUCAGUCGCGUUGGCUGGGAAUCAACCUUGCUUUUGCUUGGUGUAUUUUCUGGUCGACGGGUCAGCAUCAAUUUUGACCAUUGGAAAAAGGCUUUGGGAAUGUGGCAUCUUCGGAUGUGUUAUAGCCCUUGGUUGUAUACAAUGGUUGGGAUUGAGGAACUCAGCACGCCGCAAGGCCGGGUUUUCGAACCACGUUCGUGCUUAGGAUGCUGGCAUAAUGGCUUUAAUCGACCCGUCUUGAAACACGGACCAAGGAGUCUAACAUGCCUGCGAGUGUUUGGGUGGAAAACCCGAGCGCGUAAUGAAAGUGAAAGUUGAGAUCCCUGUCGUGGGGAGCAUCGACGCCCGGACCAGACCUUUUGUGACGGAUCCGCGGUAGAGCAUGUAUGUUGGGACCCGAAAGAUGGUGAACUAUGCCUGAAUAGGGUGAAGCCAGAGGAAACUCUGGUGGAGGCUCGUAGCGAUUCUGACGUGCAAAUCGAUCGUCAAAUUUGGGUAUAGGGGCGAAAGACUAAUCGAACCAUCUAGUAGCU
This is a ribosomal RNA of 1281 nucleotides. The stretch from base 316 to 1281 matches the Rfam family "Eukaryotic large subunit ribosomal RNA", at positions 1 to 952 of the family's 3401-position model.